UCAGGCCUAACACAUGCAAGUCGAACGGCAGCACGGGUGCUUGCACCUGGUGGCGAGUGGCGAACGGGUGAGUAAUAUAUCGGAACGUACCUUAUUGUGGGGGAUAACGCAGCGAAAGCUGUGCUAAUACCGCAUAAUCCCUAAGGGGGAAAGCGGGGGACCGUAAGGCCUCGCGCAAUUAGAGCGGCCGAUACCUGAUUAGCUAGUUGGUGAGGUAAAGGCUCACCAAGGCAACGAUCAGUAGCUGGUCUGAGAGGACGAUCAGCCACACUGGGACUGAGAUACGGCCCAGACUCCUACGGGAGGCAGCAGUGGGGAAUUUUGGACAAUGGGGGCAACCCUGAUCUAAAAGUGCCGCGUGAGUGAAGAA
RNAcentral lists this ribosomal RNA (370 nucleotides) under uncultured bacterium. RNAcentral describes it as "bacterial SSU rRNA". It matches the Rfam family "Bacterial small subunit ribosomal RNA", at positions 42 to 412 of the family's 1533-position model. The record is from RNAcentral.